ACGACAUCUUCUCCGAGCUCAUCGCCAAGGAGUACAUUCGCCAGCACGACGGCAAGAAGCGCAAGGUCACCGCGAUUCAGCUCGGCUAUGAAGCGCGCUGCGCCAAGCCUCACGCGUUCGACGUGAUGCUCGGCAGCCAGCUCGGCGUCGGCGCCUACCGCGCGCUCGUCGAAAAGCGCCUCAAUGGCGUGAUGGUCUCCGUCUCCGGCCAGUUGCAGCUCCAAUACGUGCCGUUCGACCAACUGGUCGAUCCCGACACGCUGGUAACGCUCGUCCGCUUCAUCGAGCUGGGCAGCGAUUUCCACCGCCUCACGCGGUUUCUUGAAACCAACGUCACCACCGGCGGCGGGCCCGGCAGCCCGCUGUAGCUCGGUUGGCGUCGCUCCAAACAAUCGCAGUCCCCGUAGCCCCCGCCCCCCGCCCCUGCUACAUUCACGCUUCCCGCCUGGUUCUCCCCCGCCUACCGAGAACGUCGCUCCCAUGU
Molecule: unclassified non-coding RNA, 484 nt
Filed under: uncultured fungus
Lineage: Eukaryota; Fungi
Description: sequence contains 18S rRNA gene, ITS1, 5.8S rRNA gene, ITS2, 28S rRNA gene
Source: RNAcentral